CCCUUAGAUGUCCUGGGCCGCACGCGCGUUACACUGAUGCAUUCAACGAGCUUAUAACCUUGGCCGAGAGGCCUGGGCAAUCUUGUUAACGUGCAUCGUGAUAGGGAUAGAUUAUUGAAAUUAUUAAUCUUGAACGAGGAAUUCCUAGUAAACGCAGAUCAUCAAUCUGCAUUGAUUACGUCCCUGCCCUUUGUACACACCGCCCGUCGCUCCUACCGAUUGGGCGUGCUGGUGAAAUGUUCGGAUCGGCCGUUUGUCGCGGUUUCCGCGUCAUGUGGCUGAGAAGUUCAUUAAACCCUCCCACCUAGAGGAAGGAGAAGUCGUAACA
This 328-nucleotide ribosomal RNA is filed under the name uncultured eukaryote. RNAcentral describes it as "partial 18S ribosomal RNA". It matches the Rfam family "Eukaryotic small subunit ribosomal RNA", at positions 1470 to 1796 of the family's 1831-position model. The record is from RNAcentral.